This 73-nucleotide transfer RNA is filed under the name Myotis brandtii (Brandt's bat). It matches the Rfam family "tRNA". From Rfam's summary of the family: Transfer RNA (tRNA) molecules are approximately 80 nucleotides in length. Their secondary structure includes four short double-helical elements and three loops (D, anti-codon, and T loops). Further hydrogen bonds mediate the characteristic L-shaped molecular structure. tRNAs have two regions of fundamental functional importance: the anti-codon, which is responsible for specific mRNA codon recognition, and the 3' end, to which the tRNAs corresponding amino acid is attached (by aminoacyl-tRNA synthetases). tRNAs cope with the degeneracy of the genetic code in two manners: having more than one tRNA (with a specific anti-codon) for a particular amino acid; and 'wobble' base-pairing, i.e. permitting non-standard base-pairing at the 3rd anti-codon position. Lineage: Eukaryota; Metazoa; Chordata; Mammalia; Chiroptera; Vespertilionidae. The record is from Rfam by way of RNAcentral.
GCCGGUUUGGCUCAGUGGAUAGAGCGUCAACCUGUGGGCUGAAGGGUUCCGGGUUCGAUUCCCGGUCAGGGCA